Molecule: unclassified non-coding RNA, 203 nt
Filed under: Hevea brasiliensis (rubber tree)
Lineage: Eukaryota; Viridiplantae; Streptophyta; Magnoliopsida; Malpighiales; Euphorbiaceae
Source: RNAcentral
AUUGGUGCUGUUACUGCACUAAGUCCAGAUGAACACAUUACUGGAAUUUUGAUAGCUCUCGAAAUCGAAUAGGCUGCGGCCAAGGUUGGUGUUGCCUUCUCAAUCAGACCAAGAACACCAGAUUCUGAAGGAUUAGAACAUUUUCCUCCUUCAGUCUGUAUAAUGUCAGCACCUUCCUGUUCCAAAAGCUCUGCAAGCUUGAC